RNAcentral lists this non-coding RNA (88 nucleotides) under uncultured Selenomonas sp. Its description in RNAcentral is "TPP riboswitch (THI element)". It matches the Rfam family "TPP riboswitch aptamer (THI element)", at positions 6 to 93 of the family's 105-position model. From Rfam's summary of the family: Vitamin B(1) in its active form thiamin pyrophosphate (TPP) is an essential coenzyme that is synthesised by coupling of pyrimidine and thiazole moieties in bacteria. The previously detected thiamin-regulatory element, thi box was extended, resulting in a new, highly conserved RNA secondary structure, the THI element, which is widely distributed in eubacteria and also occurs in some archaea. The record is from RNAcentral. Lineage: Bacteria; Bacillati; Bacillota; Negativicutes; Selenomonadales; Selenomonadaceae.
UUCCACUAGGGGAGCAUUUGCUGAGAGGCUGCCUGCAUGGCGGCCGACCCUUGGAACCUGUCGGGGUAAUACCUGCGUAGGGAAGUGG